Molecule: transfer RNA, 74 nt
Filed under: Salmo salar (Atlantic salmon)
Lineage: Eukaryota; Metazoa; Chordata; Actinopteri; Salmoniformes; Salmonidae
Also listed under: 1 other name
Rfam family: tRNA
About the family: Transfer RNA (tRNA) molecules are approximately 80 nucleotides in length. Their secondary structure includes four short double-helical elements and three loops (D, anti-codon, and T loops). Further hydrogen bonds mediate the characteristic L-shaped molecular structure. tRNAs have two regions of fundamental functional importance: the anti-codon, which is responsible for specific mRNA codon recognition, and the 3' end, to which the tRNAs corresponding amino acid is attached (by aminoacyl-tRNA synthetases). tRNAs cope with the degeneracy of the genetic code in two manners: having more than one tRNA (with a specific anti-codon) for a particular amino acid; and 'wobble' base-pairing, i.e. permitting non-standard base-pairing at the 3rd anti-codon position.
Source: Rfam by way of RNAcentral
GGUGCUGUGGCUUUGCUGGUUAAAGUGCCUGUCUAGUAUACAGGAGAUCCUGAGUUUGAAUCUCAGCAGUGCCU